GACGAACGCUGGCGGCGUGCUUAACACAUGCAAGUCGAACGGGAAGGUCCUGCUUUUGUGGGGUGCUCGAGUGGCGAACGGGUGAGUAACACGUGAGUAACCUGCCCUUGACUUUGGGAUAACUUCAGGAAACUGGGGCUAAUACCGGAUAGGAGCUCCUGCUGCAUGGUGGGGGUUGGAAAGUUUCGGCGGUUGGGGAUGGACUCGCGGCUUAUCAGCUUGUUGGUGGGGUAGUGGCUUACCAAGGCUUUGACGGGUAGCCGGCCUGAGAGGGUGACCGGGCACAUCGGUACUGAGCUACGGCCCGACUCCCUACGGGAGGCAGCAGUGGGGAAUAUUGCACAAUGGGCGGAAGCCUGAUGCAGCAACGCCGCGUGCGGGAUGACGGCCUUCGGGUUGUAAACCGCUUUCGCCUGUGACGAAGCGUGAGUGACGGUAAUGGGUAAAGAAGCACCGGCUAACUCCGUG
This 468-nucleotide ribosomal RNA is filed under the name uncultured bacterium. RNAcentral's name for it is "partial 16S ribosomal RNA". It matches the Rfam family "Bacterial small subunit ribosomal RNA", at positions 28 to 507 of the family's 1533-position model. The record is from RNAcentral.